UAACAAGGAUUCCCUUAGUAACUGCGAGUGAACAGGGAACAGCCCAGCGCCGAAGCCUCCGUUCCCAGUGGACGGCAGGCAUUGUGGCGUUUGGGAGAAGCCUCUCCCUCUGGUUUUGCGGGAGCCCAAGUCCCCCUGACCGGGGCCAUCGCCCGUAGAGGGUGCAAGGCCCGUGUGGCUUUUCGCGACCAGAGAAUGGCUCUCUCUCCCAGGAGUCGGGUUGCUUGGGAGUGCAGCCCUAAGCUGGUGGUAAACUCCAUCUAAGGCUAAAUACUUUUACGAGACCGAUAGCAAACAAGUACCGUGAGGGAAAGUUGCAAAGAACUUUGAAGAGAGAGUUCAAGAGUACGUGAAACCGCUCGGAGGUAAACGGGUGGGCCCACGAAUGCAUACAGAAGGGGAUUCAACUCGUUGACUGUAUGGCCGUGCCCCGCAGGUUUUUCUUUUCGAACGGAUCCUUGAGACCGAUCUGCGGAGCAGUGGUCGUCAGCGGGCGCACUUGCCCUUCUCGCAUCUCUUUCAAUUGUUAUUUUUGGAAGGGAGCGAACGCCGCGACCGGUUGGGAGAAACGACGGCGGCCAAUCGGUGAGGCCGGGCAGGUAUCCUUCUUUUGUGAGCCGCCUUUUCCUUUACCCUUCUCUCGGGGAGGUGCUUCUGGGGAGGUUUUUGGUUCUGGUUGGAGACUAGCCCGCCUUUUUAACCCCGGCUCCGCCGCCCGACCGAGGUUUAGAACCGAGGUUCGAAAACCGCGCCUGCGAUUUAUUUUUUUAAUAAACGCUCGAGCCCCAUCCCGGCAUGUGUAAGUCCAGUCCCCAUCGAUGCCAUGUUCAUUGUUGGAGGCCGUUUUUUUUUUUAAGGGCGGCGUGCGACUUGGCACAUAAAAAGUCACAGUGCCGGAUGUUCGGUGCUCUCGUUUAUGGUGCUGGUGGUCAGCGGCGAGUAGGUCGGUAACCCACCCGACCCGUCUUGAAACACGGACCAAGGAGUCUAACAUGUGCGCGAGUCGUAGGGUGCGUAAGCAAAACCCGAAGGCUUAAUGAGAGUAGAGGUCGGCAAUUUGUUCGUCGACCGAGGCGGGAUCCGUCUUUGUUUUUUCUUUCUUUUUGAAAUUUUUAAAAAGAGGAAAAUUUACCCUCCUUUUUUUUUAAAAUUUUCUUUUUUCUCCUCUUUCGAAAGGGAGAGGGAAAGAGAGGUUUUGGGGGAGGGAAAGAACGGCGCACCGCCGGCCCGUCUCGACCGCAACGCCGGUGAGGCGGCGCAAUAGCGCACACGUUGGGACCCGAAAGAUGGUGAACUAUGCCUAGGCAGGACGAAGCCAGAGGAAACUCUGGUGGAGGUCCGUAGCGUUUCUGACGUGCAAAUCGAUCGUCGGACCUGGGUAUAGGGGCGAAAGACUAAUCGAACCAUCUAGUAGCUGGUUCCCUCCGAAGUUUCCCUCAGGAUAGCUGGCGCUCAAGAGAUAACAGUCUCAUCCGGUAAAGCGAAUGAUUAGAGGCCUUGGGGCCGAAACGACCUCAACCUAUUCUCAAACUUUCAAUGGGUAAGAAGUCCGGCUUGCUCGACUGAAGCCCGGACCCACGGAUGCGAGUGCCCAGUGGGCCACUUUUGGUAAGCAGAACUGGCGCUGUGGGAUGAACCAAACGCUGGGUUACGGCGCCCAAUGCGACGCUCAUGAGACACAAUGAAAGGUGUUGGUUGCUAUAGACAGCAGGACGGUGGCCAUGGAAGUCGGAAUCCGCUAAGGAGUGUGUAACAACUCACCUGCCGAAGCAACUAGCCCUGAAAAUGGAUGGCGCUCAAGCGUGGAGCCUAUACCCAGCCGUCGGAGCAGAGACCGUAGGGCCUUUGAAGGGAAAAAGAAUAAACCCUUUUUUUCUUUAAAAAAUUAGGUCGUGGGGCUGCCGAUGCUCCGACGAGUAGGAGGGUCGCGGCGGUGAGCGUUGAAGGGUCGGGCGUAAGCCCGCCUGGAGCCGCCGUCGGUGCAGAUCUUGGUGGUAGUAGCAAAUACUCGAGUGAGAACCUUGAGGACUGAUGUGGAGAAGGGUUCCAUGUGAACAGCAGUUGAACAUGGGUCAGUCGGCCCUAAGGAAUAGGGGAAACCCGUUCCGAACGGGGGGGAAAAAAUUAAUUAAAUAAAAAUAUUAAGUUCCCCCCGCCGAGACCGAAAGGGAAUCGGGUUAAUAUUCCCGAACCCGGACACGGAGAUCGGGCCCUUGCGGUCCAGUGCGGUGACGCAAAUGAACUCGGAGACGUCGGCGGGAGUCCCAGGAAGAGUUGUCUUUUCUUUGUAAGGGACGGAAUCCCUGGAAUCGGCUCGCCCGGAGAUAGGGAUGUUGUUCCCGUAAAGCACCGCGCCUCCUGCGGUGUCUGGAGCGCUCCCGUCGGCCCUUGAAAAUCCGAGGGAGAAGGUGUGAUUUUCGUGCCGGGCCGUACCCAUAUCCGCAGCAGGUCU
This 2452-nucleotide ribosomal RNA is filed under the name Scutigerina weberi. RNAcentral's name for it is "eukaryotic LSU rRNA". It matches the Rfam family "Eukaryotic large subunit ribosomal RNA", at positions 66 to 1866 of the family's 3401-position model. The record is from RNAcentral. Lineage: Eukaryota; Metazoa; Arthropoda; Chilopoda; Scutigeromorpha; Scutigerinidae.